GCAGUGAUGGCUCAGUGUUAGAAUUCUUGCCUUCCAUGUGGUAGACCUGGGUUCGAUUCCCAGCCAGUGCA
RNAcentral lists this transfer RNA (71 nucleotides) under Loxodonta africana (African savanna elephant). It matches the Rfam family "tRNA". Rfam says of the family: Transfer RNA (tRNA) molecules are approximately 80 nucleotides in length. Lineage: Eukaryota; Metazoa; Chordata; Mammalia; Proboscidea; Elephantidae. The record is from Rfam by way of RNAcentral.